RNAcentral lists this small RNA (711 nucleotides) under Drosophila ananassae. RNAcentral describes it as "GF26720". The record is from RNAcentral. Lineage: Eukaryota; Metazoa; Arthropoda; Insecta; Diptera; Drosophilidae.
AGCCCCAGGCAAAAAUUAUUCAGUCUACAAUAUUUAUCACACGGAACGGUAACAAAACUCCCAAAAAAAACCAGAGACAAAAUGGAAUAAACAAUUUUGUUUUAAAUUUCUAAAUUAAAAACUAAAAACUUUUAUUAAACUUUUGAUGUUGCUGCCUUUGAAUCAAAUUGAUGCUCUGCUUAGUGUACCACGAGAAGCCCAUUCCACAUGAAACCUAUCUGCUCUGGGCUGGCCAAUUUUUGGUGACAUCUUCCUGGUAAGGAGUUCUUCGCUUUAGAGUCGGCUCAUGGCUCUAAAGAAACUCUCGCUGAUCUGGGGGAGCGUCUGCGAGCGGCCCCAGGUGAGCUUCCAAUGUCAAUGCCUAUGAUGCGAAUAGACUGGCCAACGGAGUUCCAUGAUGCUGUAUUGAAAUACUAGUCGGACCAGAACAGAGUGAAUUCUAUAACUAAAGACCUUCAAUCCUGAGAUGAAAUGAUGAAUCAUUUGCGUGUACUUCCCAAGGAUAGUAUCCCUCUUCAGUUUAGAUGCUGUCUGGUUUCUGUACUAUACGUGUCUAAAAAUAUCAGAACAUUUCGAGAAGAUUUGGCAGUUCCUAAAGAUCUUCAAGAAGAACCCUAUUGCCCUGUAGCGCCUUCUGGCCAUGCGGAAAUUUUUCCUGUGGCUUUAGUUAUUUUGGAAUCAUUCUACAUAAAUAUAUGUUUAUAAUUUAUA